This is a long non-coding RNA of Bubalus bubalis (water buffalo), 1573 nucleotides long. RefSeq lists it as uncharacterized. The record is from RefSeq and is a predicted model, not a curated record. NCBI's taxonomy places the organism in Eukaryota, Metazoa, Chordata, Mammalia, Artiodactyla, Bovidae. The transcript has 2 exons.
GGGGGCGGGGGGAGCCUUCCCCAGGCAGAGAUCCUGGAAUCUGCCCGCAAAUGGGCUGGCCUUAGAUGCUCCCAUGGUGGUGGUGCUGGGUGCCCUGUCGGGCUUGGCCUGGGGUAAAGGCAACCACAUGCAGCCUGGUCCCUUUCAGCUCCAGUCUGAGUCCCUACAGGGGUUGGAUGCCUUCAGAGAGACAAAGGGCCAUUGAGGCCUCAGAUCCAGUCGAGGGGGAGGAGGGCUCAGGCUACUCCGGCUAUUUUGGGAUCUCCAGACUCAAAGUCAUUCAGCCUUGACCGGCCCACGCAGGCUCAGGUCCCAGGAAGAGAGGAUAAACCAAACCAAGAAUCAGACCCUCUCUAGGCUUAAACACAGCAACAUGCUACUGCUCACAUGUGUACACACACACUCCAUGUUCCAGGUCUCCCAUAUGUGAACAUAUGUACAACCACUCAGUCAAGUCUGCACAGACACUGUGCAGUCACACACACCUGCGUGCAUACACACUGCACACCUUCAUGCAAUGCAAAACUUGCCCCUCAUCCACACAGCACACAUCGGGUGUGCCCCCACAUACACGCGUGUAGUUGGGCCCCUCCAGACGCUUCCCUGGCCCUGAGAGGAAGACGGGGAACGAAGUCCACAGAGAAUAGAAAGUCCCACCUACUGGCCUCCCUCUGAUCCCUUUCGCUCCGUAGGGGAGGGGCCGGCGCGCUCCAAAAGGAUGGGGUGGGAGUGGGGCGGCACCGCCCUCCCGGCGGCAGGCACACUCUACGCAUGCGCACACACCUUUCCUGUGGGGACCUCCGCCAGUCUCCACUCCUGGGCCCUCGAGGGUACCCCGCUAGUGUGUAAAGUGCGUCGAACAGUCGAGUGCCAGGCGGCCUCCAGCCACAGGUGUCUGGCCGCCCUGGUGGGGGAGGGGAAGAGGACGGGGCAGGGCGGCCCCCUCCCCCAGCCUCCUAGAGUCGGGUCUCAGGGCCAUCCCCUCCCCCUCGGCCUCAGCAGACAAUGAGCGUUUCACAGCGGGACGUCGCUGCUUGACCGGGGCCAGCCGCUGGGAAGGAGGCGGCUUCCAGCCCGGCCCCGAUCGCCCCCUCAGGACAGCCCCAAAUCCACCUCUUUCGGCCAGGUCCUGCCCAUGUCUAGGAGGAAACAGAAAGCUGGAGGAGCCAGGGUGGCACCCAGGUGUGGUCAGUGCCGGUGAGUCAGGAGACCCUGUGUUCCUGCUGAGGGCCAUGGCCAGGCCAAGGGAGAUGCACAGUCCAGCACAAAGGUCUGAGUUGGGGGGCGGUGCUUCUUGGAGGUAUUGACCACCUGGAUGUCAAGAUGAAGAGGAGUGGCAGAUAGACACCUAUUGGUGAAGGAGGAAACAGACAGAACAGGCUCCAUCUUGAAAGCAGGACUCCAUCUUGGGCCGGACUGUGGACUUUGAGCUAUAUGCCCAGUAUCUAUGGAAAUGACACACCAACUGGAAAACCAGACCCCCGGAUGGAAGAGUCCCAGGGCUCGUUCCUAGACUCUCUGUUACCUAAAAUACCCUAAUUAUCUGUGUAACCAAAUAAAAUCAUAAAUUCUA